GGUUAAGCGACUAAGCGUACACGGUGGAUGCCCUGGCAGUCAGAGGCGAUGAAGGACGUGCUAAUCUGCGAUAAGCGUCGGUAAGGUGAUAUGAACCGUUAUAACCGGCGAUUUCCGAAUGGGGAAACCCAGUGUGAUUCGUCACACUAUCAUUAACUGAAUCCAUAGGUUAAUGAGGCGAACCGGGGGAACUGAAACAUCUAAGUACCCCGAGGAAAAGAAAUCAACCGAGAUUCCCCCAGUAGCGGCGAGCGAACGGGGAGCAGCCCAGAGCCUGAAUCAGUGUGUGUGUUAGUGGAAGCGUCUGGAAAGGCGCGCGAUACAGGGUGACAGCCCCGUACACAAAAAUGCACAUGCUGUGAGCUCGAUGAGUAGGGCGGGACACGUGGUAUCCUGUCUGAAUAUGGGGGGACCAUCCUCCAAGGCUAAAUACUCCUGACUGACCGAUAGUGAACCAGUACCGUGAGGGAAAGGCGAAAAGAACCCCGGCGAGGGGAGUGAAAAAGAACCUGAAACCGUGUACGUACAAGCAGUGGGAGCACGCUUAGGCGUGUGACUGCGUACCUUUUGUAUAAUGGGUCAGCGACUUAUAUUCUGUAGCAAGGUUAACCGAAUAGGGGAGCCGAAGGGAAACCGAGUCUUAACUGGGCGUUAAGUUGCAGGGUAUAGACCCGAAACCCGGUGAUCUAGCCAUGGGCAGGUUGAAGGUUGGGUAACACUAACUGGAGGACCGAACCGACUAAUGUUGAAAAAUUAGCGGAUGACUUGUGGCUGGGGGUGAAAGGCCAAUCAAACCGGGAGAUAGCUGGUUCUCCCCGAAAGCUAUUUAGGUAGCGCCUCGUGAAUUCAUCUCCGGGGGUAGAGCACUGUUUCGGCAAGGGGGUCAUCCCGACUUACCAACCCGAUGCAAACUGCGAAUACCGGAGAAUGUUAUCACGGGAGACACACGGCGGGUGCUAACGUCCGUCGUGAAGAGGGAAACAACCCAGACCGCCAGCUAAGGUCCCAAAGUCAUGGUUAAGUGGGAAACGAUGUGGGAAGGCCCAGACAGCCAGGAUGUUGGCUUAGAAGCAGCCAUCAUUUAAAGAAAGCGUAAUAGCUCACUGGUCGAGUCGGCCUGCGCGGAAGAUGUAACGGGGCUAAACCAUGCACCGAAGCUGCGGCAGCGACGCUGAUGCGUUGUUGGGUAGGGGAGCGUUCUGUAAGCCUGUGAAGGUGUGCUGUGAGGCAUGCUGGAGGUAUCAGAAGUGCGAAUGCUGACAUAAGUAACGAUAAAGCGGGUGAAAAGCCCGCUCGCCGGAAGACCAAGGGUUCCUGUCCAACGUUAAUCGGGGCAGGGUGAGUCGACCCCUAAGGCGAGGCCGAAAGGCGUAGUCGAUGGGAAACAGGUUAAUAUUCCUGUACUUGGUGUUACUGCGAAGGGGGGACGGAGAAGGCUAUGUUGGCCGGGCGACGGUUGUCCCGGUUUAAGCGUGUAGGCUGGUUUUCCAGGCAAAUCCGGAAAAUCAAGGCUGAGGCGUGAUGACGAGGCACUACGGUGCUGAAGCAACAAAUGCCCUGCUUCCAGGAAAAGCCUCUAAGCAUCAGGUAACAUCAAAUCGUACCCCAAACCGACACAGGUGGUCAGGUAGAGAAUACCAAGGCGCUUGAGAGAACUCGGGUGAAGGAACUAGGCAAAAUGGUGCCGUAACUUCGGGAGAAGGCACGCUGAUAUGUAGGUGAAGUCCCUCGCGGAUGGAGCUGAAAUCAGUCGAAGAUACCAGCUGGCUGCAACUGUUUAUUAAAAACACAGCACUGUGCAAACACGAAAGUGGACGUAUACGGUGUGACGCCUGCCCGGUGCCGGAAGGUUAAUUGAUGGGGUCAGCGCAAGCGAAGCUCUUGAUCGAAGCCCCGGUAAACGGCGGCCGUAACUAUAACGGUCCUAAGGUAGCGAAAUUCCUUGUCGGGUAAGUUCCGACCUGCACGAAUGGCGUAAUGAUGGCCAGGCUGUCUCCACCCGAGACUCAGUGAAAUUGAACUCGCUGUGAAGAUGCAGUGUACCCGCGGCAAGACGGAAAGACCCCGUGAACCUUUACUAUAGCUUGACACUGAACAUUGAGCCUUGAUGUGUAGGAUAGGUGGGAGGCUUAGAAGUGUGGACGCCAGUCUGCAUGGAGCCGACCUUGAAAUACCACCCUUUAAUGUUUGAUGUUCUAACGUUGACCCGUAAUCCGGGUUGCGGACAGUGUCUGGUGGGUAGUUUGACUGGGGCGGUCUCCUCCUAAAGAGUAACGGAGGAGCACGAAGGUUGGCUAAUCCUGGUCGGACAUCAGGAGGUUAGUGCAAUGGCAUAAGCCAGCUUGACUGCGAGCGUGACGGCGCGAGCAGGUGCGAAAGCAGGUCAUAGUGAUCCGGUGGUUCUGAAUGGAAGGGCCAUCGCUCAACGGAUAAAAGGUACUCCGGGGAUAACAGGCUGAUACCGCCCAAGAGUUCAUAUCGACGGCGGUGUUUGGCACCUCGAUGUCGGCUCAUCACAUCCUGGGGCUGAAGUAGGUCCCAAGGGUAUGGCUGUUCGCCAUUUAAAGUGGUACGCGAGCUGGGUUUAGAACGUCGUGAGACAGUUCGGUCCCUAUCUGCCGUGGGCGCUGGAGAACUGAGGGGGGCUGCUCCUAGUACGAGAGGACCGGAGUGGACGCAUCACUGGUGUUCGGGUUGUCAUGCCAAUGGCACUGCCCGGUAGCUAAAUGCGGAAGAGAUAAGUGCUGAAAGCAUCUAAGCACGAAACUUGCCCCGAGAUGAGUUCUCCCUGACUCCUUGAGAGUCCUGAAGGAACGUUGAAGACGACGACGUUGAUAGGCCGGGUGUGUAAGCGCAGCGAUGCGUUGAGCUAACCGGUACUAAUGAACCGUGAGGCUUAACCUU
Molecule: ribosomal RNA, 2904 nt
Filed under: Escherichia coli
Lineage: Bacteria; Pseudomonadati; Pseudomonadota; Gammaproteobacteria; Enterobacterales; Enterobacteriaceae
Description: 23S ribosomal RNA
Rfam family: Bacterial large subunit ribosomal RNA
Source: RNAcentral